RNAcentral lists this long non-coding RNA (257 nucleotides) under Trifolium pratense (red clover). RNAcentral's name for it is "long non-coding RNA (TPRA_LNC000687)". Lineage: Eukaryota; Viridiplantae; Streptophyta; Magnoliopsida; Fabales; Fabaceae. The record is from RNAcentral.
CAUGUACUAUCCAAGGCCAUUGUAACAAUGGUCAAAAGCUAAGUGUUAAGGUCGUUUCCGCUUCUUCAUCACCUGCUCCAGCUCAAGGUCCUUCUCCUCCUUCUUCGACUACUCCUUCACCUACUCCUCCUUCAUCAGGAACCACACCUACUCCUCCUUCUCCUACUCCACCUGUCAGUGGAGAUACACCAUCCCCAUCAUCUCCAGCUCAGCCAGGCGCGACUCCUCCAUCACCUGGCUCAGCCACUUCUCUCGUU